AGGAACUCUGCUGUACAAAUCAAUCCUAUCAGAAUUCGGCGAACCAAGAGCCGGAUGAGGACAAGUCUGUGGGGACUUAUAGAAACGUCUUGGAAAGAACCUCCAGAGAUGUUGCUGCUGCUGCUGCGGCUGCUGCCAUCAGUGCCAACACCGUUUCCUUUCAUGAUCCAGCACAACCAAUAAGAUCUGAGAAGUGUGAGCUACGAGAAAUUGAUACAGCUGACUCGGAAAUAUCCAACUCGUCUGACACCAGCAUAUCAUCCUCGGAAGCUGUAUCAGAUUCAUUAACUACAACCUUUCAUGCCUUUGUGAGGGAUAGCAUGAUGGAGCCAAGGAUAUGCCAGGACCCAGUUGACAUAGAGUUUCCACUGGAUUCAAGCAUUCUAGAAGAAUCCCAGGAUUUAAUGAAAUUGGAGAUGUCCAUGAUGCAGGAUACCCUGAUGGAGCCACUGAUGCAGGAUGCCCUAAUGGAGCCAGUGAUGCAGGAUGCCUUGAUAGAGUCAGUGAUGCAGGAUGCCUUGAUGGAGCCAGUGAUGCAGGAGGUAACGAUGGAGCCAGGGGUACGAGAAGUCCUGGUGAAGCCAGUGAUUCCAGAAGUGCAGAUGGAGCCAGUGGUGCCGGAGGACCUGUUCUCCUGUGGUGGGGCUACAAGCACCAGUGC
Cavia porcellus (domestic guinea pig) is the source of this 661-nucleotide long non-coding RNA. RefSeq lists it as uncharacterized. The record is from RefSeq and is a predicted model, not a curated record. NCBI's taxonomy places the organism in Eukaryota, Metazoa, Chordata, Mammalia, Rodentia, Caviidae. The transcript has 4 exons.